AUGCUAUGAUGAGGUCAUUUUCUCAACAACUCUUUGUACCUUUCCCAUGCAUCAGGUAAUGCUUCAUUGUCCAAUUACUUAAAGAAACAUAUCUCAUUUCUGGACAU
Molecule: small nucleolar RNA, 107 nt
Organism: Cynara cardunculus var. scolymus (artichoke)
Lineage: Eukaryota; Viridiplantae; Streptophyta; Magnoliopsida; Asterales; Asteraceae
Source: RefSeq, a predicted model, not a curated record